RNAcentral lists this ribosomal RNA (432 nucleotides) under uncultured bacterium. Its description in RNAcentral is "partial 16S ribosomal RNA". It matches the Rfam family "Bacterial small subunit ribosomal RNA", at positions 29 to 507 of the family's 1533-position model. The record is from RNAcentral.
ACGAACGCUGGCGGCAUGCCUAACCCAUGCAAGUCGAACGAGACCUUCGGGUCUAGUGGCGCACGGGUGCGUAACGCGUGGGAACCUGCCUUUAGGUUCGGAAUAACUCAGAGAAAUUUGAGCUAAUACCGGAUGAUGUCUUCGGACCAAAGAUUUAUCGCCUUUAGAUGGGCCCGCGUUGGAUUAGCUAGUUGGUGGGGUAAAGGCCUACCAAGGCGACGAUCCAUAGCUGGUCUGAGAGGAUGAUCAGCCACACUGGGACUGAGACACGGCCCAGACUCCUACGGGAGGCAGCAGUGGGGAAUAUUGGACAAUGGGCGAAAGCCUGAUCCAGCAAUGCCGCGUGAGUGAUGAAGGCCUUAGGGUUGUAAAGCUCUUUUACCCGAGAUGAUAAUGACAGUAUCGGGAGAAUAAGCUCCGGCUAACUCCGUG